AGAGGCAGGCAACCACGGUAGGGUCAGCGACUGGGGUGAAGUCGUAACAAGGUAGCCGUAGGGGAACCU
RNAcentral lists this ribosomal RNA (69 nucleotides) under Bartonella sp. RT222SM. RNAcentral's name for it is "partial 16S ribosomal RNA". The record is from RNAcentral. Lineage: Bacteria; Pseudomonadati; Pseudomonadota; Alphaproteobacteria; Hyphomicrobiales; Bartonellaceae.